This 840-nucleotide long non-coding RNA is filed under the name Salmo salar (Atlantic salmon). RNAcentral's name for it is "lncRNA (ENSSSAG00000097671.1)". The record is from RNAcentral. Lineage: Eukaryota; Metazoa; Chordata; Actinopteri; Salmoniformes; Salmonidae.
CAGCAAUAUUGGCAAGUCAGAAGUCAAUUUUAGUCCAUUGUAGCGUCCACCCCUGUAAACAAUUUGCAUGACGCUGGACAAGUGAAGGAGAUCCUCAUUUCAAACAAGAGCAUUAGUUGGCACAUUUCCCCACCUCAGUUACCUUUUCUUCUAAAGGGAGGCACAGUAACAGGGGAACGACAAUUAAGGAGUUAUGCAAACCAAAUUAUGAUCUCCCUAGUUGAGUGGUCGGGCGGUCUGUUAAAGGCUUGACGCUUCUGCUGAGGCGCCGGGGCCGGACGCUAUUGCUGAGGCGCCGGACGCUUCUGCUGAGGCGCCGGGGCCGGACGCUUCUGCUGAGGCGCCGGGGCCGGACGCUUCUGCUGAGGCGCCGGGGCCGGACGCUUCUGCUGAGGCGCCGGGGCCGGACGCUUCUGCUGAGGCGCCUGGGCCGGACGCUUCUGCUGAGGCGCCGGGGCCGGACGCUUCUGCUGAGGCGCCGGGGCCGGACGCUAUUGCUGAGGCGCCGGGGCCGGACGCGUCUGCCGAGGCGCCGGGGCCAGACUUCACACUUGACGGGGCAUUGUGGCCAGUAGCUUCUGCUGACGUGGCAUUGGGGCCAGUAACUGCUGACGUGGCAUUGGGGCCAGUAACUUCUGCUGACGUGGCAUUGGGGCCAGUAGCUUCUGCUGACGUGGCAUUGGGGCCAGUAGCUUCUGCUGACGUGGCAUUGGGGCCAGUAGCUUCUGCUGACGUGGCAUUGGGGCCAGAAGCUUUAGCAUUUGGACUACGCACCACACUUGCUUGGGCAUAGGAUCCAAUUGGUUCAGGUCCAGUGUAGGCAGGAUGCCCAUAAGAAUU